RNAcentral lists this non-coding RNA (29 nucleotides) under Mus musculus (house mouse). The record is from RNAcentral. Lineage: Eukaryota; Metazoa; Chordata; Mammalia; Rodentia; Muridae.
UGCAAUCAGACGUGCCUUCCACAGGAUGC